GACCCGUCUUGAAACACGGACCAAGGAGUUCAACAUGCGAGCUAGUUGUUGGGACUUGAAACCCGCUAGCAAAGUGAAAGCAAGACAUAGUGUAACGCUGUGUAUUUGGCGUGAUCCCGUUACUUGGUCCUGAAAAGUCCGAGCCGGGCGCAUCGCCGGCCCGUCAUAAGCUCACGUGGCUGUGGCGGAGCCUGAGCUCGCACGUUGAGACCCGAAAGAUGGUGAACUAUGCCUGGGCAGGAUCGGCGGUGGCGUCGAAGGCUUACGGGCGUAAUCCGGCCUGGAGCCGCCGUCGGUGCAGAUCUUGGUGGUAGUAGCAAAUACUCAAGCGAGACCCUUGAGGACUGAAGUGGAGAAGGGUUCCAUGUGAACAGCAGUUGAACAUGGGUCAGUCGAUCGUAAGCCAUCGGCGAAAGCCGUUCAGAAGCGGUGUAGAUAGUGGCUCUUGUAGUCACUGGUUCGUCUGUUGCGUUUACUCGUAGCAUGCGAUCACUGCACCUGGCGAAAGGGAAUCGGGUUAAUAUUCCCGAACUCGGCAUCGGAUAUUGCCUGGGUUCGGUUUCACGGCUGGCCUAGGACAUGCGGUAACGCAAAUGAACUCGGAGACGCUAACACGUGCCCUGGGAAGAGUUGUCUUUUCUUCAUAAGGCGCAGGCUCCCUGGAAUCGAAUCACUCGGCGAUAGGGAGAUGGCGUCCGUAGAGCACCGCGGUUCUUGCCGUGUCCGGUGCGCACGUGUUGGUCCUUGAAAAUCUGAGGGAGAGUGUUAUUUUCGUGCCGAAUCGUACCCAUAUCCGCAGCAGUCUCC
RNAcentral lists this ribosomal RNA (807 nucleotides) under Doryphoribius zyxiglobus. RNAcentral describes it as "partial 28S ribosomal RNA". It matches the Rfam family "Eukaryotic large subunit ribosomal RNA", at positions 646 to 1868 of the family's 3401-position model. The record is from RNAcentral. Lineage: Eukaryota; Metazoa; Tardigrada; Eutardigrada; Parachela; Doryphoribiidae.